GUUCCGUAGUGACCUGCGGAAGGUCAUUA
This 29-nucleotide ribosomal RNA is filed under the name uncultured Glomus. RNAcentral's name for it is "partial 18S ribosomal RNA". Lineage: Eukaryota; Fungi; Glomeromycota; Glomeromycetes; Glomerales; Glomeraceae. The record is from RNAcentral.